GUGAAGCAAAAGGGCGGAAGGGCAGGGAAAACAAAGACAACUUGGGGCAGAUGAGACAAACUCCGGAAAGAAAUGAGAGAUUGAUUUUGCAAAAAAUGGAGAGGAUUGAAUUCACUUGAAGAGAAGCACACCAGUUGAAAGGAAUUGACAUGACAACUCUGGUUGACAAGAAUUGAUAAGACAACAUGAUUGAGCAAAAGAAUUAGCAUUCCCGUAGAAAUAUGAGAACACCACUGAGAAAAGAUAUGAAAUCACCAUUUGAC
This 263-nucleotide long non-coding RNA is filed under the name Hordeum vulgare. Its description in RNAcentral is "long non-coding RNA (HVUL_LNC007440)". Lineage: Eukaryota; Viridiplantae; Streptophyta; Magnoliopsida; Poales; Poaceae. The record is from RNAcentral.